Molecule: non-coding RNA, 74 nt
Organism: Stegodyphus mimosarum
Lineage: Eukaryota; Metazoa; Arthropoda; Arachnida; Araneae; Eresidae
Source: Rfam
GCCUUCGUGGUGUAGUGGUCAGCACGCUGGUCGCGUAUUCCAGAGGUCCGUGGUUCGAGUCCCGACGAAGCGCU